This is a small nucleolar RNA of Medicago truncatula (barrel medic), 91 nucleotides long. It matches the Rfam family "Small nucleolar RNA SNORD96 family". From Rfam's summary of the family: snoRNA Z37 is a member of the C/D class of snoRNA which contain the C (UGAUGA) and D (CUGA) box motifs. Z37 acts as a methylation guide for 5.8S ribosomal RNA. The record is from Rfam. Lineage: Eukaryota; Viridiplantae; Streptophyta; Magnoliopsida; Fabales; Fabaceae.
CUGCCAAUGAUGAUAUCAUACACCAAAUACCAUCUUUCGGGACUGAAUGGCUUUUUUGCCUUGUUGAUACUAUUCUGCAAUUCUGAGGCAU